UAGUAACGGCGAGUGAAGCGGCAACAGCUCAAAUUUGAAAUCUGCCUUCGGGCCGAGUUGUAAUUUGUAGAGGAAGCUUUUGGUGAGGCACCUUCUGAGUCCCCUGGAACGGGGCGCCAUAGAGGGUGAGAGCCCCGUAUAGUCGGAUGCCGAUCCAAUGUAAAGCUCCUUCGACGAGUCGAGUAGUUUGGGAAUGCUGCUCAAAAUGGGAGGUAAAUUUCUUCUAAAGCUAAAUACCGGCCAGAGACCGAUAGCGCACAAGUAGAGUGAUCGAAAGAUGAAAAGCACCUUGAAAAGGGGGUUAAAUAGCACGUGAAAUUGUUGAAAGGGAAGCGUUUGCGGCCAGACUUGCGCCGCCCCCGAUCAUCCGGUGUUCUCACCGGUGCACUCGGGGCGGCGCAGGCCAGCAUCGGUUUCGGCGGGGGGAUAAAGGUCCGGGGAACGUAGCUCCUCCGGGAGUGUUAUAGCCCCGGGCGUAAUGCCCUCGCCGGGACCGAGGUUCGCGCAUCUGCAAGGAUGCUGGCGUAAUGGCCGCCAACGACCCGUCUUGAAACACGGACCAAGGAGUCAAGGUUUUGCGCGAGUGUUUGGGUGUAAAACCCGCACGCGUAAUGAAAGUGAACGUAGGUGAGAGCUUCGGCGCAUCAUCGACCGAUCCUGAUGUAUUCGGAUGGAUUUGAGUAAGAGCGUUAAGCCUUGGACCCGAAAGAUGGUGAACUAUGCUUGGAUAGGGUGAAGCCAGAGGAAACUCUGGUGGAGGCUCGCAGCGGUUCUGACGUGCAAAUCGAUCGUCAAAUCUGGAGCAU
RNAcentral lists this ribosomal RNA (806 nucleotides) under Neurospora reticulata. RNAcentral describes it as "partial large subunit ribosomal RNA". It matches the Rfam family "Eukaryotic large subunit ribosomal RNA", at positions 81 to 918 of the family's 3401-position model. The record is from RNAcentral. Lineage: Eukaryota; Fungi; Ascomycota; Sordariomycetes; Sordariales; Sordariaceae.